AGACCUUAAGAAACUAUUCAGAACGCUUUCAAGCUACUAGCACUAAAGAUCAGAAUACCACUGAAGAAGAAAGAGGGCAGCUUACCACAGUUCAAACUGUUCCCACGGAGAGGGGGAAGAAUAAAGGAGAAGAGAAGAGCAGACGGGUUUCCAGACCGAAGUUUCAAAAGGAGCAGAAGAAGAGGGAGAAGCUGAGAAAGAAGCUGAGGACCUAAAGAAGCAGCUGGAGAAUGAGACCAAAGAGUUUGAGGAGCAGCUCCAGCAGGAGAAGACCAGGAGAGAGAGAGCUGAGAGAGAACUGAAGGACCUAAGGACAGACUCAGGAAUGGAUAUUGAGGUCGACCAACAGCGUGAAUAUAUCCGUCUCAGAAACUCUUCCACUGAGGACAAACAGCUGAAACAGUGGGAUCUUUCUCUGCACAUCAGAGAAACCAAUAAGAAAUAUAGAUUUGAAGAAUUGCUGCUGAAGGCUGGAAGACAUGUCACUAUCUGGGUACCAAAGUGUGACCCCAGUUAUCCUGCUGGUGACCUGGUGUGGAAGGAUCUGAAGCCCUGGAGCCCUGGAGACACACUGUGGUUCACCCUCCGCAACAACAAGAGAGUGAUACAACAUCGACUCUGUGUAAAAUCCACUGACCGAUAAUAACUAGCCCCUUCUUCUCUGCUCAUAUGAGUUUCCUUUAGCUGAUCUUACACUGCUUUUAUUCAAAGCUGCAGAAAAUGUGGAUUUGAGACGUUUGAUGGUCUUGUUCCUCGUCUCAUGAAAAGAUGUGUGACAGAUUUAUCACGGACAGGAAAGAAAACAGGAUUUGAAAGGUUGAAUAUUGUGAACGUAUCUCUAAUUUAAAUAUUGUUAUAAAAAUAUUGGAAAUUAACAAAAUGAGAGGUUUUGAGUUUACUGGAUUUUAAAUGUUUAUACAAUCUUUACAAAUCUUUAGUUUUGUCUUCAUUGUGUACUGUAAAAGUAUUCACUCAGUGUUUCUACUGUAAAGAUAUGAACAACUUCAAAUUCAGUUUUAUUCUGAAAAGUUCCGACUCUGAUGUACAGUUUUGAUAUUUGCUCUGAGAAAUACCAUCUUCCAAAUAUGUUGUUUUUAAACCAACAAUAUAUGAAAUAUAAAAUGUAGUAUUUGUAAAUUGAUUUGUGAAUUGUUCACCCCUUCAGUUACCCUAUUAAACCAUACACAUUU
Long non-coding RNA from Eleginops maclovinus (Patagonian blennie), 1190 nucleotides. RefSeq lists it as uncharacterized. Lineage: Eukaryota; Metazoa; Chordata; Actinopteri; Perciformes; Eleginopidae. The record is from RefSeq and is a predicted model, not a curated record. The transcript has 6 exons.